RNAcentral lists this transfer RNA (73 nucleotides) under Hyphochytrium catenoides. RNAcentral describes it as "trnM(cat)". It matches the Rfam family "tRNA". Rfam says of the family: Transfer RNA (tRNA) molecules are approximately 80 nucleotides in length. Their secondary structure includes four short double-helical elements and three loops (D, anti-codon, and T loops). Further hydrogen bonds mediate the characteristic L-shaped molecular structure. tRNAs have two regions of fundamental functional importance: the anti-codon, which is responsible for specific mRNA codon recognition, and the 3' end, to which the tRNAs corresponding amino acid is attached (by aminoacyl-tRNA synthetases). tRNAs cope with the degeneracy of the genetic code in two manners: having more than one tRNA (with a specific anti-codon) for a particular amino acid; and 'wobble' base-pairing, i.e. permitting non-standard base-pairing at the 3rd anti-codon position. Lineage: Eukaryota; Hyphochytriomycetes; Hyphochytriales; Hyphochytriaceae. The record is from RNAcentral.
AAGCCCAUAUUUCAAGAGGUAGAAAUUUCCGCUCAUAACGGAAAAGUUGUAGGUUCAAUUCCUACUGGGCUUA